AUCCAUCAAUCUCCACUUGCCAUGGCUCAGUGACUCACAGAGCUUAGCUCGACUAGAUGGAGCAGGUGUAGCCGGUGGGAGGGGUCUUGCCGCAGGUGAGGAGGAGCUGGAGGGCGAGGGGGAGGACGAGGUUGAUGUUGAGGAGCUUCAGCCGGAUGGUGGUGCACAGGCACACCGCCGCCUCCAGCUCCACCAGCCCCUCCAGCAGCGGGCAGCACUUGUUCACCACCGGGUCGCCGAGGCCCACGUGCACCAGCCCGCCCAGCAGGUCCACGCACGCCCCGAUCUUCAGCGAGUCCACCGGGCACGUCUGCGCCGCGGGCGUCGCCGGCGGUGGAGGAGGGCACGGCGUGUUCACCGGAGGCGACGGGUACGUGACCGGGGGGUUGGUCACCGGCGGCGCGGGGUAGGUGACCGGAGGGGUGGUCACUGGUGGCGCCGGGUAGGUGACUGGAGGGGCGGUCACUGGUGGCGCGGGGUAGGUGACUGGCGGCGUGGGGUAGGUCACCGGCGGCCCGACGACGACGGGAGGAGCUGUGACCGGCGGGCGCGUGAUGGGGCCCUUGGGCGGACCGUAGACCGGCGGGCGGGGGACGUGGCCCUUCGGAGGGCCGACGACCGGUGGGCGAGGGACGUGACCCUUCGGCGGGCCGACGACCGGCGGGUGCGGGAGGUGGCCCUUGGGCGCCGGCGACGGGUAGGUGGGGCCCUUGGGUCCCGGCUUGGGGCCCUUGGUGGGGGGCUUGGUCUUGGGCGGGUGGGAGGGCUUGGGGGCCUUCGGCUUGUCGCAGUCGCAGUCGAUGGUGGACGCCGCGACGGCGGUGGUGAGGAGCAGGAGGAGGGUGAGCAGGAGCGGACGGAGCUUCUUCGUGCUCGCAGCCAUGGCUGCCAGCUGGUGGUAGUGGUGGACGAGCGUGGUGGUGUGGUGGACAGGAGGAGUGAUGCGUGCUUCUAGGGUUUGUGAGUACUGUAGUUUUAUAGAGCGAGCUGGGUGCGUGGGAUUGGAGGCCCGUGAUCUCGUCGGUGGCUAGGGUUUUCAAAUUGUGCGUGUGUGAUUGGGUGACUUACUGUGGACUGUGAUGUGUUGUUCGAAGCUUCACCAAUCACCACCCACGGGGCCAAAUUAUAUUACCUCCAAACGAAACACGCGUGAACUGAGACUUUCCAUUUCCUAGUCGUGUAGUGCGGUGCCUGAAAAAAAUCUAAUUAUGUUGGUCAAAUUUUUGGACUGUUAGAUCAUAAUCCAACAGCCAUGAUCCUGUGUGCACUAUUAGUCUUCAUCGUCUAGUUGUCUUCCUCCUGCCGCCUGAUCCCCCACAGGCCCACUGCCUGCUUCCACUACCUACAGUCGGCGGCGCUCUCGCGGUCGCCUCGCCGCCCCGCCCUCCCUUGCCCUCAUCAACCACCAGAUUUCUUCGGCGACCCCUCACCCCACCCCCUCAACCCGCACCAGUCAACAUGUUCCUUCGCCUUCACCUAGGACAUCGAAGCUCACAGUCUCGAACAGAGGAAGGGCAAGGUCCAGCCCGAAAGUUGCCGGAUGCACCGCUGUGGCUUCCAAGCCGGCGACGAUGUCCGCAGUGGCGACCGCGGAUGGGGGGCUACAGCGUCGGCGCUAGCAGCGGAGCUACGAGACGUCCGGGGUAAAAGAGGAAGAAGAGACGAGAGCGCAAAUGAAAUCGGUAGGUCAAGAGGUGUAUUUGGCGCAAUUUGUGAUGGUGUCGUGGUGUUGGGUCCGACGUGGAGGUCGCGCCCGAGCCACCCUAUAUCUGUCCUACAUUUAGGCUGGAUAUAAGGAUGCCGGUCAGCCUGUUCAUUUAGGUCGCAUUUUUUUUUUCAGCCCGGGCAUUUAGGUCGCAUUUUUUUUUACGUCCAGACGUUUGAGGCGUCCGGCUGUAGAUGACAUCAAGAUCCUCUUAGUACCACUGCAAAUUACCACCACAGAUGAUCCUUUUGGUAGCACUGCAAAUUACCACCGACAUUGAAAAGAGAUAUAAUCCGUGCAUGCACUGUCGCAGUCAUGCAUGCGUGAACCAACAUACUCCUGGUCACUAUCGAUGUCCAAUCCAAUCCCGACUGGUCACUCUGGAACAGCUCUGUGAAUUAUUCAUGACAUGGAAUCUUACUACUACUGUUUACUUGUUUCCUUCUUCUUAUUUGCUAGCUUAAUCAGUUGGUCAUCAGUUGUGACCAAUUAAUUGAUCAGCACACAUCGAUUAUCACCUCUGGCAUCAAACCACAACACACAGGCCUAGCCAAACACAAAAUAAAAAUCACAAGAAAAACAAACAGUACUCAUCGAUGCAUUCUUAGCUGAUCGAUCGAUCUCUUCUUGCUACUAGCUAGACGACGACCAUCGACAUCCUCUCAUGUCGAUCCAUCCAUGCAUCCAUCUCCACGUGCACUGGCACUGUGGCACACUGACUCGCCGAGGUUAGGUCGACUAGAUGGAGCAGGUGAAGCCGGGUGGCGGGGUCUUGCCGCAGGUGAGGAGGAGCUGGAGGGCGAGGGGCAGGGCGAGGUUGAUGUUGAGGAGCUUCAGCCGGAUGGUGGUGCAGAGGCACACCGCCGCCUCCAGCUCCACCAGCCCUUCCAGCAGCGGGCAGCACUGGUUCACCACCGGGUCGCCCAGGCCGAUAUGCACCAGCCCGCCCAGCAG
This 2659-nucleotide long non-coding RNA is filed under the name Triticum aestivum (bread wheat). RNAcentral describes it as "long non-coding RNA (TAES_LNC018561)". Lineage: Eukaryota; Viridiplantae; Streptophyta; Magnoliopsida; Poales; Poaceae. The record is from RNAcentral.